Molecule: ribosomal RNA, 555 nt
Filed under: uncultured Halococcus sp.
Lineage: Archaea; Methanobacteriati; Methanobacteriota; Halobacteria; Halobacteriales; Halococcaceae
Description: bacterial SSU rRNA
Rfam family: Archaeal small subunit ribosomal RNA
Source: RNAcentral
ACGGGGAGCAGCAGGCGCGAAACCUUUACACUGCACGACAGUGCGAUAAGGGGACCCCGAGUGCGAGGGCAUACAGUCCUCGCUUUUCGUGACCGUAAGGAGGUCACAGAAUAAGGGCUGGGCAAGACCGGUGCCAGCCGCCGCGGUAAUACCGGCAGCCCGAGUGAUAGCCACUAUUAUUGGGCCUAAAGCGUCCGUAGCCGGCCGAACGGGUCCGUCGGGAAAUCCACCCGCUCAACGGGUGGGCGUCCGGCGGAAACCAGUCGGCUUGGGGCCGGGAGACCAGAGGGGUACGUCCGGGGUAGGAGUGAAAUCCUGUAAUCCUGGACGGACCACCGGUUGCGAAAGCGCCUCUGGAGAACGGACCCGACGGUGAGGGACGAAAGCUAGGGUCUCGAACCGGAUUAGAUACCCGGGUAGUCCUAGCUGUAAACGAUGCUCGCUAGGUGCGGCGCAGGCUACGAGCCUGCGCUGCGCCGUAGGGAAGCCGAGAAGCGAGCCGCCUGGGAAGUACGUCCGCAAGGAUGAAACUUAAAGGAAUUGGCGGGGGAGCAC